ACGCCGCGUGAGUGAUGAAGGCUUUCGGGUCGUAAAGCUCUGUCAAGGGGAAAGAAGUGUAUUGUGGUUAAUACCCGCGAUACUUGACGGUACCCCUAAAGGAAGCACCGGCUAACUCCGUGCCAGCAGCCGCGGUAAUACGGAGGGUGCGAGCGUUGUUCGGAAUUAUUGGGCGUAAAGCGCGUGUAGGCGGUUUGUUAAGUCUGAUGUGAAAGCCCCGGGCUCAACCUGGGAAGUGCAUUGGAUACUGGCAGACUUGAAUACGGGAGAGGGCAGUGGAAUUCCUGGUGUAGGAGUGAAAUCCGUAAAUAUCAGGAGGAACACCGGUGGCAAAGGCGGCUGCCUGGACCGAUAUUGACGCUAAGACGCGAAAGCGUGGGUAGCAAACAGGAUUAGAUACCCUGGUAGUCCACGCCGUAAACGAUGAGUACUAGGUGUUGCGGGUAUUGACCCCUGCAGUGCCGCAGCUAACGCAUUAAGUACUCCGCCUGGGACGUACGGUCGCAAGAC
This 510-nucleotide ribosomal RNA is filed under the name uncultured Geobacter sp. RNAcentral's name for it is "bacterial SSU rRNA". It matches the Rfam family "Bacterial small subunit ribosomal RNA", at positions 394 to 894 of the family's 1533-position model. Lineage: Bacteria; Pseudomonadati; Thermodesulfobacteriota; Desulfuromonadia; Geobacterales; Geobacteraceae. The record is from RNAcentral.